RNAcentral lists this small RNA (3160 nucleotides) under Pongo abelii (Sumatran orangutan). RNAcentral describes it as "retained intron". Lineage: Eukaryota; Metazoa; Chordata; Mammalia; Primates; Hominidae. The record is from RNAcentral.
UCAUUUCACGGGUGAGGAGACUUAGAGAGACGAAGCCACUUGUCCAAGGUCACGCCGCUGGUGAGUGGGAGCGCCCAGCAUGGAACCCAGCACCGUCCAGCCGCGGAGCCCGCGUUCCACCCUCUGUGCCGCCGCCGCCUCCUGUGGGAGAGGGAGGUGGUCGGGAGAGUGCACGCCGGUGCCGCCUGGGCUCCAGACUGGGCGCGACCACUAACCGGGUUAAUGACCUCGGGCUUAACUUAACCCCUUCGCUGCUCUGGGCCUGCAUUUCUCCACCGGUGAAAUGAGGUAAUGCCAGCCCUGCCUACUCUUCAUGGGCGUGUAAGGAGCAUCAGAGAUGGUGUAUGUGGAACUGCUUUGCAAGUAGUGCUGCGCUGAGCGCACUGAGGAUUAUGAUUGCUGUUCCAAAGGCGUGGAAGGAGGCAGAGGGGCGGGGUGGGGAAGAGGCCCAGAGCAGUCACAAAGGCUUGCUCUGACCACAGGCCCCCUAAAUGAGGAGUGAGGUAAGGAGUAGGUAGCAGGUCUUUCUCCCCUUUGGAGAAAACCUCACCCCCUUUUUUGGGCUGCCCCUCAGGGUCUCCAUCACCCAACUCCAUGCUUCGAGUCCUGCUCUCUGCUCAGACCUCCCCUGCUCGGCUGUCUGGCCUGCUGCUGAUCCCUCCAGUACAGCCCUGCUGUUUGGGACCCAGCAAAUGGGGGGACCGGCCUCUUGGAGGAGGCCCCAGUGCAGGUCCUGUGCAAGGACUGCAGCGGCUUCUGGAACAGGCGAAGAGCCCUGGGGAGCUGCUGCGCUGGCUGGGCCAGAACCCCAGCAAGGUGCGCGCCCACCACUACUCGGUGGCGCUUCGUCGUCUGGGCCAGCUCUUGGGGUCUCGGCCACGGCCCCCUCCUGUGGAGCAGGUCACACUGCAGGACUUGAGUCAGCUCAUCAUCCGAAACUGCCCCUCCUUUGACAUUCACACCAUCCACGUGUGUCUGCACCUUGCAGUCUUACUUGGUGAGGAGGGGCUUGAGGUGGGCGCCUGGGGGGCUAGGUGUUAAUGAAGAAUAGGGAGAACAGUAGAGGACCACGGACAGAGACCCAGCCUCUCAGGCGUUUGCCCAGGAACGCUUGCUCCUGCUCCCGUCCUAUGUCUGCGGCAGACAUCAUGAGUCGAACGCACUCCUUCCAGCCUCACUAGGGUGCCACCCCAAAUUCCUGCUAAUAGAGUGCCCUAGGAAGCCAAUUUGUCACAAUUGGUACGAGAUGAAAGUCUAUUUGCCGUCUUUGUAUGUACUCCCUACAGACCGUUUUGAUACCUCAUAGCCACAUGAUACUUUACAUUUCUCUAGUGUUUGUACUUAAACGCUAGCACACCUUCCCACUCAGGAAACGGAGAGGAGAAAGGUGGAGAAUUCACCAAGUAACCCCAUGAUAAGAACAGCAGCACAGCUCUGUUACCAGGCUGCCUUUUACCUCUCCCCCCUCAGGCUUUCCAUCUGAUGGUCCCCUGGUGUGUGCCCUGGAACAGGAGCGAAGGCUCCGCGUCCCUCCGAAGCCACCUCCCCCUUUGCAGCCCCUUCUCCGAGGUGGGCAAGGGUUGGAAGCUGCUCUAAGCUGCCCCCGUUUUCUGCGGUAUCCACGGCAGCAUCUGAUCAGCAGCCUGGCAGAGGCAAGGCCAGAGGAACUGACUCCCCACGUGAUGGUGCUCCUGGCCCAGCACCUGGCCCGGCACCGGUUGCGGGAGCCCCAGCUUCUGGAAGCCAUUGCCCACUUCCUGGUGGUUCAGGAAACCCAGCUCAGCAGCAAGGUGGUACAGAAGUUGGUCCUGCCCUUUGGGCGGCUGAACUACCUGCCCCUGGAACAGCAGUUUAUGCCCUGCCUUGAGAGGAUCCUGGCUCGGGAAGCAGGGGUGGCACCCCUGGCUACAGUCAACAUCUUGAUGUCACUGUGCCAACUGCGGUGCCUGCCCUUCAGAGCCCUGCACUUUGUUUUUUCCCCUGGCUUCAUCAACUACAUCAGUGGCACCCCUCAUGCUCUGAUUGUGCGUCGCUACCUCUCCCUGCUGGACACGGCCGUGGAGCUGGAGCUCCCAGGAUACCGGGGUCCCCGCCUUCCCCGAAGGCAGCAAGUGCCCAUCUUUCCCCAGCCUCUCAUCACCGACCGUGCCCGCUGCAAGUACAGGUGGAUGGGGCAGCCUGGGGCAAGGGGAGGGGCCGGCCUGGGACCAGCAGAGUGGAAAAGCCAGAGGGACCAUGAAGCGCCAAAGCUAAGGAGCUCUCGGCCACCAUAAAACUGGGCCCUGAAGCAGCAGAGGGCUUUGCCCAGCGUGGUGGCACUAGACUGGGACAGACUAGGAUGAGGUGCCGGGCCCUUCCUGCUACUGGUGUCCUUUCUCCUCAGUCACAAGGACAUAGUAGCUGAGGGGUUGCGCCAGCUGCUGGGGGAGGAGAAAUACCGCCAGGACCUGACUGUGCCUCCAGGCUACUGCACAGGUGAGCAAGGGGCAGGCGGCAGGCCCAGGGAGACGGAGCCCUGGCUAAGGCCGCCGGCCCUGCUCCCCCUCCAGACUUCCUGCUGUGCGUCAGCAGCUCUGGUGCUGUGCUUCCCGUGAGGACCCAGGACCCCUUCCUGCCAUACCCACCAAGGUCCUGCCCACAGGGCCAGGCCGCCUCUAGCCCCACUACUCGAGACCCUGCCCAGAGGUAAGGGAGGCAGGGUGGGGGAGCCCUGGCCACCUUGCCCGCCAUGCCCUGAGCCACAUCCCUCCCCCUGCAGGGUGGUGCUGGUGUUGCGGGAACGCUGGCAUUUCUGCCGGGACGGCAGGGUGCUGCUGGGCUCGAGAGCCCUGAGGGAGCGGCACCUAGGCCUGAUGGGCUACCAGCUCCUGCCGGUGAGUGGCCCUGGCCUGGCCCGUGGCGUAUCCUCACUCCGGGCCUGCGGGUAACCUGCCGCCAUCUCCUCUCCCCACAGCUACCCUUCGAGGAACUGGAGUCCCAGAGAGGCCUGCCCCAGCUCAAGAGCUACCUGAGGCAGAAGCUCCAGGCCCUGGGCCUGCGCUGGGGGCCUGAAGGGGGCUGAGGGGAUGAUGUGGGGUUCAGGAUGGCCCCCCCAUGGGGGGUGGAUGAUUUGCACUUUGGUUCCCUAUGUUUUGAUUUCUCAUUAAAGUUCCUUUCCUUC